This 465-nucleotide ribosomal RNA is filed under the name Vreelandella stevensii. RNAcentral describes it as "partial 16S ribosomal RNA". It matches the Rfam family "Bacterial small subunit ribosomal RNA", at positions 338 to 795 of the family's 1533-position model. The record is from RNAcentral. Lineage: Bacteria; Pseudomonadati; Pseudomonadota; Gammaproteobacteria; Oceanospirillales; Halomonadaceae.
CCUACGGGUGGCUGCAGUGGGGAAUAUUGGACAAUGGGGGCAACCCUGAUCCAGCCAUGCCGCGUGUGUGAAGAAGGCCCUCGGGUUGUAAAGCACUUUCAGUGAGGAAGAACGCCUGGUGGUUAAUACCCAUCAGGAAAGACAUCACUCACAGAAGAAGCACCGGCUAACUCCGUUCCAGCAGCCGCGGUAAUACGGAGGGUGCGAGCGUUAAUCGGAAUUACUGGGCGUAAAGCGCGCGUAGGUGGCUUGAUAAGCCGGUUGUGAAAGCCCCGGGCUCAACCUGGGAACGGCAUCCGGAACUGUCAAGCUAGAGUGCAGGAGAGGAAGGUAGAAUUCCCGGUGUAGCGGUGAAAUGCGUAGAGAUCGGGAGGAAUACCAGUGGCGAAGGCGGCCUUCUGGACUGACACUGACACUGAGGUGCGAAAGCGUGGGUAGCAAACAGGAUUAGAUACCCUGGUAGUC